GACGAACGCUGGCGGCGUGCCUAAUACAUGCAGGUAGAACGCUGAAGGAGGAGCUUGCUUCUCUGGAUGAGUUGCGAACGGGUGAGUAACGCGUAGGUAACCUACCUGGUAGCGGGGGAUAACUAUUGGAAACGAUAGCUAAUACCGCAUAAUAUUGAUUAUUGCAUGAUAGUCAAUUAAAAGGUGCAAUUGCACCACUACCAGAUGGACCUGCGUUGUAUUAGCUAGUUGGUGGGGUAACGGCUCACCAAGGCGACGAUACGUAGCCGACCUGAGAGGGUGAUCGGCCACACUGGGACUGAGACACGGCCCAGACUCCUACGGGAGGCAGCAGUAGGGAAUCUUCGGCAAUGGACGGAAGUCUGACCGAGCAACGCCGCGG
This 382-nucleotide ribosomal RNA is filed under the name Streptococcus sp. oral taxon 058. Its description in RNAcentral is "bacterial SSU rRNA". It matches the Rfam family "Bacterial small subunit ribosomal RNA", at positions 28 to 402 of the family's 1533-position model. Lineage: Bacteria; Bacillati; Bacillota; Bacilli; Lactobacillales; Streptococcaceae. The record is from RNAcentral.